Molecule: long non-coding RNA, 466 nt
Organism: Siniperca chuatsi (mandarin fish)
Lineage: Eukaryota; Metazoa; Chordata; Actinopteri; Centrarchiformes; Sinipercidae
Exons: 2
Source: RefSeq, a predicted model, not a curated record
UCCUCUUCUGUAUCUGCCUUCCCCUGUGUUUCCUGGCGGUCCCCUGUCCGUCUUGUUUGUGUGUGUGUGUGUGUCUGGGUUCUGGGCUGGUUUCCAGAUCUCCCGGCUGCUAUUGAUUACCGGCACACCUGAUCAUCAUCAUCAUCAUCAACCACCACAGUUAUCUACCGGGCUCAUCCACACUUCCAGCGCCAGAUCGUCUUCGUACCCAACCUCUGUGCUGCCGGUGAUCACUUCCUUGUGCCACGGCCAUCGGACUCUAGUCUCAGUCUCAGCGUGUCUUCACCCGAUCAGCCCAGCCUUCAACCACGCCAGCCAGUCCAGAACCCGCUUCCCUGGUCUCCGCUCAACGCACCACUCUCCAGCCUCCGUCCAGUCCGGUCGAACUCUCCGUACUACAACGCACUUCGCCAGACACGCCGCGAUCUCCUGAUCUAUCCACACAAUAAAACUGUUCAGACCUUGA